ACGCUCGACACCUACGGGGGCAGCAGUGGGGAAUAUUGCACAAUGGGGGAAACCCUGAUGCAGCGACGCCGCGUGGAGGAAGAAGGUCUUCGGAUUGUAAACUCCUGUUGUUGGGGAAAAAGAGGAUGGUACCCAACAAGGAAGUGACGGCUAACUACGUGCCAGCAGUCGCGUAAUCUGAGCGGGCUGGCAAGGC
This 196-nucleotide ribosomal RNA is filed under the name uncultured bacterium. RNAcentral describes it as "partial 16S ribosomal RNA". It matches the Rfam family "Bacterial small subunit ribosomal RNA", at positions 328 to 539 of the family's 1533-position model. The record is from RNAcentral.